GCUAGCAGCUGUAUCAUCCUGCAACUCACCACCGAAGCUAAGUAGGUGUGAGCCUGGUAAGUAUCUGGAUGGGAGAGCUCUUGGGAAAGCUAAGGUUGCUGCUGGAA
RNAcentral lists this ribosomal RNA (107 nucleotides) under Lepisosteus oculatus (spotted gar). Lineage: Eukaryota; Metazoa; Chordata; Actinopteri; Semionotiformes; Lepisosteidae. The record is from RNAcentral.